Molecule: ribosomal RNA, 644 nt
Filed under: Sporisorium andropogonis-micranthi
Lineage: Eukaryota; Fungi; Basidiomycota; Ustilaginomycetes; Ustilaginales; Ustilaginaceae
Description: LSU rRNA
Rfam family: Eukaryotic large subunit ribosomal RNA
Source: RNAcentral
GCAUAUCAAUAAGCGGAGGAAAAGAAACUAACAAGGAUUCCCCUAGUAACGGCGAGUGAAGAGGGAAGAGCCCAAGAUUGAAAGCUGGCGUCUUCGGCGUCCGCAUUGUAAUCUCAAGAAGUGUUUUCCGCUUCGGACCAUGCCUAAGUCCCUUGGAAAAGGGCAUCAUAGAGGGUGAUAAUCCCGUACAUGGCAUGGAGCGCCCGGAGCUUUGUGAUACGCUUUCUAAGAGUCGAGUUGUUUGGGAAUGCAGCUCAAAAUGGGUGGUAAAUGCCAUCUAAGGCUAAAUAUUGGGGAGAGACCGAUAGCGAACAAGUACAGUGAUGGAAAGAUGAAAAGAACUUUGAAAAGAGAGUUAAACAGUACGUGAAAUUGCCAAAAGGGAAGGGUAGGAGGUCAGAGAUGCGUCUUGGGAUUCAGCCUUGCUUUUGCUUGGUGUUUUUCCCAAGUUGCAGGCCAACGUCGGUUUUGGGCACUGGAGAAGGGUGGAAGGAACGUGGCACCCCUCGGGGUGUGUUAUAGCCUUCCACUGGAUACAGCGACCGAGACCGAGGACAGCAGCGUACUCGCAAGAGCGGGCCUUCGGGCACCUUUACGCUUAGGGCGUUGGCAUAAUGGCCCUCUACCACCCGUCUUGAAACACG